Molecule: ribosomal RNA, 2475 nt
Filed under: Acinetobacter baumannii
Lineage: Bacteria; Pseudomonadati; Pseudomonadota; Gammaproteobacteria; Moraxellales; Moraxellaceae
Description: partial 23S ribosomal RNA
Rfam family: Bacterial large subunit ribosomal RNA
Source: RNAcentral
UAAAUACUCCUGACUGACCGAUAGUGAACCAGUACCGUGAGGGAAAGGCGAAAAGAACCCCUGUGAGGGGAGUGAAAUAGAUCCUGAAACCGCAUGCAUACAAGCAGUGGGAGCACCUUCGUGGUGUGACUGCGUACCUUUUGUAUAAUGGGUCAGCGACUUAUAUUCAGUAGCGAGGUUAACCGUAUAGGGGAGCCGUAGAGAAAUCGAGUCUUAAUAGGGCGUUUAGUUGCUGGGUAUAGACCCGAAACCAGGCGAUCUAUCCAUGAGCAGGUUGAAGGUUGGGUAACACUAACUGGAGGACCGAACCCACUGUCGUUGAAAAGCCAGGGGAUGACUUGUGGAUAGGGGUGAAAGGCUAAUCAAGCCUGGUGAUAGCUGGUUCUCCCCGAAAGCUAUUUAGGUAGCGCCUCGGACGAAUACCAUAGGGGGUAGAGCACUGUUUCGGCUAGGGGGUCAUCCCGACUUACCAAACCGAUGCAAACUCCGAAUACCUAUGAGUACUAUCCGGGAGACAGACUGCGGGUGCUAACGUCCGUAGUCAAGAGGAAAACAAUCCAGACCGCCAGCUAAGGCCCCAAAAUCAUAGUUAAGUGGGAAACGAUGUGGGAAGGCAUAGACAGCUAGGAGGUUGGCUUAGAAGCAGCCACCCUUUAAAGAAAGCGUAAUAGCUCACUAGUCGAGUCGGCCUGCGCGGAAGAUGUAACGGGGCUAAAACUAUGUGCCGAAGCUGCGGAUGUAUACUUUGUAUACGUGGUAGGGGAGCGUUCUGUAAGCCGAUGAAGGUGUGUUGAGAAGCAUGCUGGAGGUAUCAGAAGUGCGAAUGCUGACGUGAGUAACGACAAAACGGGUGAAAAACCCGUUCGCCGAAAGACCAAGGGUUCCAGUCCAACGUUAAUCGGGGCUGGGUGAGUCGACCCCUAAGGCGAGGCCGAAAGGCGUAGUCGAUGGGAAAAUGGUUAAUAUUCCAUUACUUCUGUGUAAUGCGAUGAGAGGACGGAGAAGGCUAAAUCAGCCUGGCGUUGGUUGUCCAGGUGAAAGGAUGUAGGCAUGUAUCUUAGGCAAAUCCGGGGUACUCUAUGCUGAGAUCUGAUAGCAAGCUGUACUUGUACAGCGAAGUGGUUGAUGCCAUGCUUCCAGGAAAAGUCUCUAAGCUUCAGUUACACAGGAAUCGUACCCGAAACCGACACAGGUGGUCAGGUCGAGUAGACCAAGGCGCUUGAGAGAACUCUGCUGAAGGAACUAGGCAAAAUGGUACCGUAACUUCGGGAGAAGGUACGCUGUUGUUGGUGAUGGAACUCGCUUCCUGAGCUGACGACAGCCGCAGAAACCAGGCCGCUGCAACUGUUUAUUAAAAACAUAGCACUCUGCAAACACGAAAGUGGACGUAUAGGGUGUGAUGCCUGCCCGGUGCUGGAAGGUUAAUUGAUGGGGUUAGCGUAAGCGAAGCUCUUGAUCGAAGCCCCAGUAAACGGCGGCCGUAACUAUAACGGUCCUAAGGUAGCGAAAUUCCUUGUCGGGUAAGUUCCGACCUGCACGAAUGGCAUAAUGAUGGCGGCGCUGUCUCCAGCAGAGGCUCAGUGAAAUCGAAAUCGCUGUGAAGAUGCAGUGUACCCGCGGCUAGACGGAAAGACCCCGUGAACCUUUACUGCAGCUUGACACUGAACUUUGACCUUACUUGUGUAGGAUAGGUGGGAGGCUUUGAAGCUGGAACGCUAGUUCCAGUGGAGCCGUCCUUGAAAUACCACCCUGGUAAUGUUGAGGUUCUAACUCUGUCCCGUGAUCCGGGACGAGGACCGUGUCUGGUGGGUAGUUUGACUGGGGCGGUCUCCUCCUAAAGAGUAACGGAGGAGUACGAAGGUGCGCUCAGCGUGGUCGGAAAUCACGCGUAGAGUAUAAAGGCAAAAGCGCGCUUAACUGCGAGACCCACAAGUCGAGCAGGUACGAAAGUAGGUCUUAGUGAUCCGGUGGUUCUGUAUGGAAGGGCCAUCGCUCAACGGAUAAAAGGUACUCUGGGGAUAACAGGCUGAUACCGCCCAAGAGUUCAUAUCGACGGCGGUGUUUGGCACCUCGAUGUCGGCUCAUCUCAUCCUGGGGCUGAAGCAGGUCCCAAGGGUAUGGCUGUUCGCCAUUUAAAGAGGUACGCGAGCUGGGUUUAGAACGUCGUGAGACAGUUCGGUCCCUAUCUACCGUGGGCGCUGGAAAUUUGAGAGGAUCUGCUCCUAGUACGAGAGGACCAGAGUGGACGAACCUCUGGUGUACCGGUUGUGACGCCAGUCGCAUCGCCGGGUAGCUAUGUUCGGAAGGGAUAACCGCUGAAAGCAUCUAAGCGGGAAGCCUACCUCAAGAUAAGAUUUCCCUAGGACUUUAUGUCCUCUAAAGAGCCGUUCGAGACUAGGACGUUGAUAGGUUGGAUGUGGAAGCAUAGUGAUAUGUGAAGCUGACCAAUACUAAUUGCUCGUGAGGCUUGACUAU